Molecule: ribosomal RNA, 468 nt
Filed under: uncultured bacterium
Lineage: Bacteria
Description: partial 16S ribosomal RNA
Rfam family: Bacterial small subunit ribosomal RNA
Source: RNAcentral
GACGAACGCUGGCGGCGUGCUUAACACAUGCAAGUCGAACGGAAAGGCCCUGCUUUUGUGGGGUGCUCGAGUGGCGAACAGGUGAGUAACACGUGAGUAACCUGCCCUUGACUUUGGGAUAACUUCAGGAAACUGGGGCUAAUACCGGAUAGGAGCUCCUGCUGCAUGGUGGGGGUUGGAAAGUUUCGGCGGUUGGGGAUGGACUCGCGGCUUAUCAGCUUGUUGGUGGGGUAGUGGCUUACCAAGGCUUUGACGGGUAGCCGGCCUGAGAGGGUGACCGGCCACAUUGGGACUGAGAUACGGCCCAGCCUCCUACGGGAAGCAGCAGUUGGGAAUAUUGCACAAUGGGCGGAAGCCUGAUGCAGCAACGCCGCGUGCAGGAUGACGGCCUUCGGUUUGUAAACCGCUUUCGCCUGUGACGAAGCGUGAGUGACGGUAAUGGGUAAAGAAGCACCGGCUAACUACGUG